GUAUAUCUCAAUGUUUUUUUUUUUUUUUUUAAUUUGAAAAAGUGACAUGAUAUUCGUAUUUUGCAACUUUCAUUUGUAACUCUUUAGUUUCCAUGGUGAAAUUAAUUUAAAAGGCACCAGUUGAAGUGCUGAACAUGGCAGAAGCUAUGGAUGAAGGUGGCAUGGGCUAUAAUAUUGAUGCUAAAGGAAUUUUUGGGUAUGUUACUGGACAUUUCAGAAAAGACAAGCCGCCAGUUGUAGAAGCAGUUUUAUCUGGGCUUGUUGAUAGCCCUGACUACUGUAUGGAUUUUCCGAAGAGAGGAAUAUGUUAUAUUUUCAAUCA
This is a long non-coding RNA of Stegodyphus dumicola, 322 nucleotides long. Lineage: Eukaryota; Metazoa; Arthropoda; Arachnida; Araneae; Eresidae. The record is from RefSeq and is a predicted model, not a curated record.